AAUCAACGCUGGCGGCGUGCCUCAGACAUGCAAGUCGAACGAGAAAGUUUCCUUCGGGAGACGAGUACAGUGGCGUCCGGGUGAGUAACACGUGGGUAAUUUACCUUUGGGUGGGGAAUAGCAGCCGGAAACGGCUAUUAAUACCGCAUAAUGCAGCGGCUCGACAUCGAGACAGUUGUUAAAGCGGGGAUCUGACAAGGACCUCGCGCCUAAAGAGAAGCCUGCGUCAGAUUAGCUAGUUGGUAGGGUAAUGGCCUACCAAGGCUGUGAUCUGUAGCCGGCCUGAGAGGGCGGUCGGCCACACUGACACUGACACACGGGUCAGACUCCUACGGGAGGCAGCAGUCGGGAAUUUUGGGCAA
This 362-nucleotide ribosomal RNA is filed under the name uncultured bacterium. RNAcentral describes it as "bacterial SSU rRNA". It matches the Rfam family "Bacterial small subunit ribosomal RNA", at positions 32 to 371 of the family's 1533-position model. The record is from RNAcentral.